This 465-nucleotide ribosomal RNA is filed under the name uncultured Desulfocapsa sp. RNAcentral describes it as "bacterial SSU rRNA". It matches the Rfam family "Bacterial small subunit ribosomal RNA", at positions 921 to 1382 of the family's 1533-position model. The record is from RNAcentral. Lineage: Bacteria; Pseudomonadati; Thermodesulfobacteriota; Desulfobulbia; Desulfobulbales; Desulfocapsaceae.
CCGCACAAGCGGUGGAGUAUGUGGUUUAAUUCGACGCAACGCGCAGACCUUUACUGGUCUUGACAUCCCGAGAAUUUUCUGGAAACAGAGAAGUGCCUCGCAAGAGGAAUUCGGAGACAGGUGCUGCAUGGCUGUCGUCAGCUCGUGUCGUGAGAUGUUGGGUUAAGUCCCGCAACGAGCGCAACCCUUUGUCUUUAGUUGCCAUCAUUAAGUUGGGCACUCUAAAGAGACUGCCGGUGUCAAACCGGAGGAAGGUGGGGAUGACGUCAAGUCCUCAUGGCCUUUAUGACCAGGGCUACACACGUACUACAAUGGCAGGUACAAAGGGCAGCCACUUAGCGAUAAGGCGCGAAUCCCGUAAAACCUGUCUCAGUCCGGAUUGGAGUCUGCAACUCGACUCCAUGAAGUUGGAAUCGCUAGUAAUCGCAGAUCAGCACGCUGCGGUCGAAUACGUUCCCGGGCCUU